This 312-nucleotide ribosomal RNA is filed under the name uncultured Glomeromycotina. RNAcentral describes it as "LSU rRNA". Lineage: Eukaryota; Fungi; Glomeromycota. The record is from RNAcentral.
UUGAAAGGGAAACGAUUGAAGUCAGUCAUGCCGACGGGAAUCAACUUAGGGGAACUCCGGGUGCACCUCUUCGUUUGGCAGGUUAGUGUCGAUUUUGGAUGUCAUAAAAUAAUUGGGAGAAGGUAGCUCUUUCGGGAGUGUUAUAGCCCCUGGUAGAUGUGAUAUCUGGGAUCGAGGAUUGCAACGGAUACCCUUCGGGGCCAACCCCCUGAUCCUCUAAUUGGUGUUGGGUUACGGACAGCAUGCUGACCGUGAUCUAAUUACUGGUUAAAAGGUUAGAGUGUGCAUAAAUUCGUUAAGGAUGUUGACGUA